GACGGAGGAGGCUAGCGUUGUUCGGAAUUACUGGGCGUAAAGCGCGCGCGGGCGGUUUGGCAAGUCAGGGGUGAAAGCCCGGGGCUCAACCUCGGAACGGCCUUUGAGACUGCCAGACUUGAGACCGGAAGAGGAGAGUGGAAUUCCCAGUGUAGAGGUGAAAUUCGUAGAUAUUGGGAAGAACACCAGCGGCGAAGGCGGCUCUCUGGUCCGGUACUGACGCUGAGGCGCGAAAGCGUGGGGAGCAAACAGG
This 253-nucleotide ribosomal RNA is filed under the name uncultured bacterium. RNAcentral describes it as "partial 16S ribosomal RNA". It matches the Rfam family "Bacterial small subunit ribosomal RNA", at positions 524 to 776 of the family's 1533-position model. The record is from RNAcentral.